UACGUAGGGUGCGAGCGUUGUCCGGAAUUAUUGGGCGUAAAGAGCUCGUAGGCGGUCUGUCGCGUCGGUCGUGAAAACUUGGGGCUUAACCCUGAGCUUGCGGUCGAUACGGGCAUGACUGGAGUUCGGCAGGGGAGACUGGAAUUCCUGGUGUAGCGGUGAAAUGCGCAGAUAUCAGGAGGAACACCGGUGGCGAAAGCGGCGCACUGGACCACAUCUGACGCUGAGGCGCGAAAGCUAGGGGAGCAAACAGG
RNAcentral lists this ribosomal RNA (254 nucleotides) under uncultured bacterium. RNAcentral describes it as "partial 16S ribosomal RNA". It matches the Rfam family "Bacterial small subunit ribosomal RNA", at positions 524 to 776 of the family's 1533-position model. The record is from RNAcentral.